This 316-nucleotide ribosomal RNA is filed under the name uncultured fungus. RNAcentral's name for it is "partial small subunit ribosomal RNA". It matches the Rfam family "Eukaryotic small subunit ribosomal RNA", at positions 30 to 356 of the family's 1831-position model. Lineage: Eukaryota; Fungi. The record is from RNAcentral.
GCUUGUCUCAAAGAUUAAGCCAUGCAUGUCUAAGUAUAAACGAUUUUAUACGUGAAACUGCGAAUGGCUCAUUAUAUCAGUUAUAGUUUAUUUGAUGGUCCUUACUACUUGGAUAACCGUAGUAAUUCUAGAGCUAAUACAUGCAUCAAGCCCUGACUUCGGAAGGGGUGUAUUUAUUAGAUGGAAACCAAUGCGGGGCAACCCGGAAAAUGGUGAUUCAUAAUAACUUUCGGAUCGAUCUUCGGAUCGAUGCAUCAUUCAAGUUUCUGCCCUAUCAGCUUUGGAUGGUAGGGUAUUGGCCUACCAUGGCUUUAAC